UAAGUAGUGCUACUGACGAGACUGAUCA
RNAcentral lists this small RNA (28 nucleotides) under Bombyx mori (domestic silkworm). RNAcentral describes it as "piRNA piR-bmo-1832650". The record is from RNAcentral. Lineage: Eukaryota; Metazoa; Arthropoda; Insecta; Lepidoptera; Bombycidae.